Molecule: ribosomal RNA, 520 nt
Filed under: bacterium btn 1d-3.6.
Lineage: Bacteria
Description: bacterial SSU rRNA
Rfam family: Bacterial small subunit ribosomal RNA
Source: RNAcentral
ACUCCUACGGGAGGCAGCAGUAGGGAAUCUUCCGCAAUGGACGAAAGUCUGACGGAGCAACGCCGCGUGAGUGAUGAAGGUUUUCGGAUCGUAAAGCUCUGUUGUUAGGGAAGAACAAGUCCCGUUCGAAUAGGGCGGUACCUUGACGGUACCUAACCAGAAAGCCACGGCUAACUACGUGCCAGCAGCCGCGGUAAUACGUAGGUGGCAAGCGUUGUCCGGAAUUAUUGGGCGUAAAGGGCUCGCAGGCGGUUCCUUAAGUCUGAUGUGAAAGCCCCCGGCUCAACCGGGGAGGGUCAUUGGAAACUGGGGAACUUGAGUGCAGAAGAGGAGAGUGGAAUUCCACGUGUAGCGGUGAAAUGCGUAGAGAUGUGGAGGAACACCAGUGGCGAAGGCGACUCUCUGGUCUGUAACUGACGCUGAGGAGCGAAAGCGUGGGGAGCGAACAGGAUUAGAUACCCUGGUAGUCCACGCCGUAAACGAUGAGUGCUAAGUGUUAGGGGGUUUCCGCCCCUUAGUG